ACACACGACUGAAGAGCACAGUAGAUCCUUAACGAGCAGUGGUACCGUAAAAACCGAACAACCUUGUCGUAUUUUAAAGAUAAAAUUUAAGUUAAAAUACAGUUGCUGACAUUGAUGUUAUUUUUAAAUAACAUAUCACUGAUCAGAGUCUGUAAUUUAUGUUAAUAUGUAAAUUUUCAAACCUUUGCUUCAUCCUCCAUCCAUCCAGGCAAUGGUCCUGGUGAGACAGGCUAGGACACGGUCCUAGACACACAGAGGCUGGUUCGGUGGGGUAAGAUACAGAAAUCAGACACCUGGUGCUAUUUAUUCAGAAAGCUGGGGCUUCGCUAGCAGGAUGCUCCACCAGAUCUUUACAACAGUGUACGAAACUGUAAUGGCUCUAGCAGGAAAUGCACCACCUGAACUGAAUGGAGCAAUGGGAAUUCUGCAAGGGUGGAGACUUUGGGUGGGUGUGAGACAUUUAGUGUCAUUCCUGCGUCUCAUUUGUCUAUAACUGAUCCGCAGGUUUGAGUGUGUCUGACGCUGCUGAGCUGCUGACUUCAACUUCUAACACAUCUGGCUGGCUGGAACAGAGCUGUAUCGCCCAGACUCAUCUAUUAAAUUCCCUGCUACAGACCCUCACAAAAAACAGGAUUUCCUGAUUUUGUUUCCCUGGAGACGUGGCUCUUCCGACAAUGGUGUUUCAAUGGAUUCGACCCUCCCUUGGCAGCUUCACAAAAUUUCGACCAAUUCAAGACGUCCUUGGCAAAUUCACAGUAAUUCGACACGCUCAGGACUUCCUUGACAACUUCCCAUUUCACUUAGAUGGACGAAGAUGUGCAGAGCUCACUCACCAGUUGGUUAUACAGGUAUUUCAACAUAUUCAAGUCAUCCUCGGCAAAUUCAGAGUAUUUCGACCAAUUCAAGACUUCAUUGACAGCUUCAAAGUAAGGACUUUGUGUGUUUGAUAUUUGGGCACAUUUUUAUAAUCACAACAUGAUUAUAUGUUAUAAG
Molecule: long non-coding RNA, 993 nt
Filed under: Lepisosteus oculatus (spotted gar)
Lineage: Eukaryota; Metazoa; Chordata; Actinopteri; Semionotiformes; Lepisosteidae
Description: lncRNA (ENSLOCG00000021322.1)
Source: RNAcentral